Molecule: long non-coding RNA, 374 nt
Organism: Lagopus leucura (white-tailed ptarmigan)
Lineage: Eukaryota; Metazoa; Chordata; Aves; Galliformes; Phasianidae
Exons: 3
Source: RefSeq, a predicted model, not a curated record
AGAAUCUCUAGAGAUCUCUCCUCAGUGAAGCUUCUUCCUGCAAGCCUAGCAUCUUCUGAUACAAAGAAUCUUGAGCUGCAUCUACCUUUCCCUGUGUUGUUCUCCAUCGAACUGGGAUCAAAAGCAGAUGAAGACACAAGCAUUAUUACUUCUUUCCACUGUGAGCAUGUUUUCAGUAAAUGAAAUUUAACUGCUGAUGGCAUGAUUCCUACUGCUGGUAUCUCGGUGAAGAGAGAGUAAAGAUGUUGGGGAGUCAGUGUCUUCAGAGCCCGAAGAAGUGAAAGCACUGCUCAGAGCACUGCAGAAACGGAAUUUUUGCAACGACAGCGAGCGCGACCCACGCGUAAACGCCCGCGGGAAGGCCGGGAGGCCGC